Molecule: ribosomal RNA, 654 nt
Filed under: uncultured bacterium
Lineage: Bacteria
Description: bacterial SSU rRNA
Rfam family: Bacterial small subunit ribosomal RNA
Source: RNAcentral
GCAAUCCUGGUGGCGAGUGGCGAACGGGUGAGUAAUACAUCGGAACGUGCCCAGUAGUGGGGGAUAACCCGGCGAAAGCCGGACUAAUACCGCAUACGACCUACGGGUGAAAGCGGGGGAUCGCAAGACCUUGCGCUAUUGGAGCGGCCGAUGUCAGAUUAGCUAGUUGGUGGGGUAAAAGCCUACCAAGGCGACGAUCUGUAGCUGGUCUGAGAGGACGACCAGCCACACUGGGACUGAGACACGGCCCAGACUCCUACGGGAGGCAGCAGUGGGGAAUUUUGGACAAUGGGCGCAAGCCUGAUCCAGCCAUGCCGCGUGCGGGAAGAAGGCCUUCGGGUUGUAAACCGCUUUUGUCAGGGAAGAAAAGCUCCGGGCUAAUACCUUGGAGUCAUGACGGUACCUGAAGAAUAAGCACCGGCUAACUACGUGCCAGCAGCCGCGGUAAUACGUAGGGUGCAAGCGUUAAUCGGAAUUACUGGGCGUAAAGCGUGCGCAGGCGGCUUUGCAAGACAGAUGUGAAAUCCCCGGGCUUAACCUGGGAACUGCAUUUGUGACUGCAUGGCUGGAGUGCGGCCAGAGGGGGAUGGAAUUCCGCGUGUAGCCAGUGAAAUGCGUUAGGAUAAUGCGGAGGAACACCGAUGGGCGAAGGCA